AACUUAACACCUAAUGAGGUUUUUUUUUUUUUUUUUGUUUGAAAUUUUUUUUUUUUUUUUUUUUUGUGGAGUGGGUAGUCAACAGUGUCUGCUCUGGGCAAAUCACACAAAGUCCCUGAACGGCAGGAACCAAGAAAAUCCUGUCAGGUCCAUAGGAACAAAGAUUAAAUUGCCCCAGAAGAAAACCACAAUAAGUAAGGCAUAUCUCCA
This 210-nucleotide long non-coding RNA is filed under the name Homo sapiens (human). Its description in RNAcentral is "non-protein coding lnc-KATNAL2-9:1". The record is from RNAcentral. Lineage: Eukaryota; Metazoa; Chordata; Mammalia; Primates; Hominidae.